GACGAACGCUGGCGGCGUGCCUAAUACAUGCAAGUCGAACGCUUUUUCUUUCACCGGAGCUUGCUCCACCGAAAGAAAAAGAGUGGCGAACGGGUGAGUAACACGUGGGUAACCUGCCCAUCAGAAGGGGAUAACACUUGGAAACAGGUGCUAAUACCGUAUAACACUAUUUUCCGCAUGGAAGAAAGUUGAAAGGCGCUUUUGCGUCACUGAUGGAUGGACCCGCGGUGCAUUAGCUAGUUGGUGAGGUAACGGCUCACCAAGGCAACGAUGCAUACCCGACCUGAGGGGGUGAUCGGCCACACUGGGACUGAGACACGGCCCAGACUCCUACGGGAGGAAGCAGUAGGGAAUCUUCGGCAAUGGACGAAAGUCUGACCGAGCAACGCCGCGUGAGUGAAGAAGGUUUUCGGAUCGUAAAACUCUGUUGUUAGAGAAGAACAAGGAUGAGAGUAGAACGUUCAUCCCUUGACGGUAUCUAACCAGAAAGCCACGGCUAACUACGUGCCAGCAGCCGCCGUAA
This 523-nucleotide ribosomal RNA is filed under the name uncultured bacterium. RNAcentral describes it as "partial 16S ribosomal RNA". It matches the Rfam family "Bacterial small subunit ribosomal RNA", at positions 28 to 523 of the family's 1533-position model. The record is from RNAcentral.